AACGAACGCUGGCGGCAUGCCUAACACAUGCAAGUCGAACGAGACCUUCGGGUCUAGUGGCGCACGGGUGCGUAACGCGUGGGAACCUGCCCUUAGGUUCGGAAUAACUCCCCGAAAGGGGUGCUAAUACCGGAUAGUGUCUUCGGACCAAAGAUUUAUCGCCUUUGGAUGGGCCCGCGUUGGAUUAGCUAGUUGGUAGGGUAAAAGCCUACCAAGACGACGAUCCAUAGCUGGUCUGAGAGGAUGAUCAGCCACACUGGGACUGAGACACGGCCCAGACUCCUACGGGAGGCAGCAGUGGGGAAUAUUGGACAAUGGGCGAAAGCCUGAUCCAGCAAUGCCGCGUGAGUGAUGAAGGCCUUAGGGUUGUAAAGCUCUUUUACCCGGGAUGAUAAUGACAGUACCGGGAGAAUAAGCUCCGGCUAACUCCGUG
Molecule: ribosomal RNA, 433 nt
Filed under: uncultured bacterium
Lineage: Bacteria
Description: partial 16S ribosomal RNA
Rfam family: Bacterial small subunit ribosomal RNA
Source: RNAcentral